This 241-nucleotide long non-coding RNA is filed under the name Elaeis guineensis (African oil palm). RNAcentral's name for it is "long non-coding RNA (EGUI_LNC055368)". Lineage: Eukaryota; Viridiplantae; Streptophyta; Magnoliopsida; Arecales; Arecaceae. The record is from RNAcentral.
GGUAUCAUUGCUAUAUGGUCACUUCGAUUAGUACAAAAAUUGGUUCCUGUGCUACCGGCUUAGGUUCGAACCUGCGGGGUCACACACAUUAGAGGUUCCUAUCUGAUCUGAUGGCUGAUGAAGAGUCCUAAUGCUCGUGGACUAUGAGUCCUACAUGUCUGAGACUCUGUGAUCGAGAAUCAAAAUUUUUUGAUCAUGAGUCCCACACAUUUUGGAUACCGGGGUCAAGAGUCCUACUGGU